This 406-nucleotide ribosomal RNA is filed under the name uncultured bacterium. Its description in RNAcentral is "partial 16S ribosomal RNA". It matches the Rfam family "Bacterial small subunit ribosomal RNA", at positions 29 to 526 of the family's 1533-position model. The record is from RNAcentral.
AUUGAACGCUGGCGGCAGGCCUAACACAUGCAAGUCGAACGAGUGGCGGACGGGUGAGUAAUGUCUGGGAAACUGCCUGAUGGAGGGGGAUAAAUAAUGGAAACGGUAGCUAAUACCGCAUACCAUCGGAGGUGCCCAGCUGGGAUUAGCUAGUAGGUGGGGUAAAGGCUCACCUAGGCGACGAUCCCUAGCUGGUCUGAGCGGAUGACCAGCCACACUGGAAAUGCGACACGGUCCAGACUCCGACGGGCGGCAGCAGUGGUGAAUAUUGCACAAUGGGCGCAAGCCUGAUGCAGCCAUGCCGCGUGUAUGAAGAAGGCCUUCGGGUUGUAAAGUACGUUCAGCGGGGAGGCGUGACCCGCAGAAGAGGCACGGGCUAACUCCGUGCCAGCGGCCGCGGUAAUAC